This 25356-nucleotide long non-coding RNA is filed under the name Brachypodium distachyon (stiff brome). RNAcentral describes it as "long non-coding RNA (BDIS_LNC006023)". The stretch from base 15117 to 15241 matches the Rfam family "MIR1120/MIR1122 microRNA precursor family". The record is from RNAcentral. Lineage: Eukaryota; Viridiplantae; Streptophyta; Magnoliopsida; Poales; Poaceae.
AAACUCUUGCCGGUCGAACCAUCGUUCGGUGCUGGAUAAAACCUCACGUACGUCUCAGCAUAUAUAGGAUCGAUCUAUAACUAACUCGUCAAACCAACAACCGAUCAGGCUCAAUCAUCCAAGAGAUACAGAACGCAACGGGACACGCGACACGCGUGGCAUGUGGAAGCAUCUGCGUACGGCGACGCGACGAGUGCAGAAAUCUCAUUUAACCGAAAGGGCGAAGAUCAAAGUAUAUCUGAGAUAAAUUAUAGGGAACUGACUUCUGAUUGCGGCACGUACUACAUCGUGUUAUUCCUUCCGUCCUCACGGUCCGGGCCCUUCAACUAGUAGUCCAGUCGACCACCACCCCUUCGUGGCUCACAAACAAAAGAACCGCUCAGCCAGGCAAGAUCUGGCCCUACACACGAUGGUGAGAGUGCUGGAUCUCGCCGCGGCCACCGAAGCGUUCGGCGCCGGCGCCGGCACCGUCGUGGGUUCAGUCUUCGUCUUCGCGGCGGCGGUUGCGAUCGUGGCCAUGGCGUUGUUCGGCUGCGCCGACGGGAAGCCCAAGCGACGCCGCCGCUGGGCCAGCGGCGGUCCGGGAGGCGGCGCCGGGUGCGGAGGCGGUGCAGGAUGCGGCGGGGGAGGCGGCGGCUGCGGGGGCGGAGGGGGCGGCGGCGGAGGAGGAGGCCCUUAAUCGAAGGACGUGCGUCUCAUUGCAGGAGGGGGCGGCGAUUUCUUGACAUGGAGUUGUGUUAGUGCCAUGUUGUUACUGUGCUCACGGGAUUGAGUGUUGGCUGUACAAAUAUUCGCGCUCGAUGUAUACUUUUGUAUGUAAGAAUUGCUUGUGGAUGCCAUUUUGUUUUGUGCUUGUGGAGCUAGGCGAUUUCUGAUCAUGAACAGCAGAUGAAACACGAACUGUGUUAAAACAGUGUUCCUUUCCUUUGUGUCAUGAAUCAUCGUGAGUUCUGCAGCGACUGCUGGGCCGGGUUCGUGUCGUAGAGCGUCGAAGAAGAAGCACAGCUUGGGCCGAAAAUAUAUGGAGCCCAUGUAGAACGUUCAGGGCCAAAGCACACGCUGGAGUCGGUUAAAACAAACACACACACUGUACUCCGUAGUGUGUUGCGGCCUACCGGAACGAGGAAACACGAAAGAAGAUAAACAUGAGAACGGUCAGCUGCUAUCCCUCGCAGACCUCGUGGUACAAUACAACGCAACGAAGUAAGGAUGUUUGCUCCAUGGCUUGCAUAAGCCAAAGCACGCCGAGAAUGAUUGCAUCUAUUCCCUUUGUCUUAAUAAGUGAUUCAAAUUUAUGAAUGUAUCUAUAUUAAAGAGCCUUUUUCCGGUACCCUUAUACUGCUUGAGGAGAGGAAGCAGUAUAUAAUAUCCACCCUUGGUUUCUAAAGGGUGGAAUAGACAUUUAUUUUUUGAGAUAAUCCUUAAUUAGGAGUAAAAUGUCCGUAGUGGGCUUCAGAUACGGCCUAUUCUUUGUGUUCGCCUGUGUGCUCUUGCCGGCGGUGCCGGUCGACCUCCCUAGCUAGGCUUUCAUGGUCGUGGCCCUCUAGAUCCUGCCAUCAUCGUCCUCACCUGCAAGCCCCGCCUCGACCUUGCCGGCAAUCACCAUCGGCCUGACUGGCCGAGCCCUUGUCGACCUUGCCGGCAAGCCCAGCGGGCGCCGGCCGUCUCAGGCUCUCAGCUCCCUGACCACAGCAUGCAAGUGAACAUCGAAGCAGUGGGGAUAUCCGUCAUAUAACUCCGAAUUAAAGUUCACAAGGAUGGAUGAUUUUCUCUUUGCGAAGCGAACCUAGCUAGGUGUCUAGGUGUGCAUAGUCCGUAGAUCGUCAGGCACAUCACCAUCUUCUGACUAAUCAUGAAUGCUCUGUCUAGGAUAUGGAUUUAGCACUUUGCAUCGAUCAUGAGAAUUCACUUAUAUUUGAACUAGAGGCAUGUUGAAGCAAGAACAGUUCGGAAUCCCCACAAAGGAGCCUGAGACGGCCGGCGCCGCUGAGCUUGUUGGCGACGUCUCCAGUCUCGACAAGGGCUAGGGCAGUCGGGCUGAUGGUGCUUGCCGGCAAGUCCGACGGGGGCUGGGGCUGGCGAGGCUUGCAGAGUUGCAGGUCAGAUCGAUGAUGGCAGGAUCUAGAGAGGGCCAUGACCACGAGUGCCUUGCUAGCGAGGUCGACCGGCACCGUCGGCAAGAGCAAACAGGCGAACACCGGAUGGGCCGUAUCUGAAGCCCACUACUACGGAUGUUUUACUGCUGAUUAAGAAUUAUCCCCCCUAAAAAAAAAUUGUCUUAAAAAAGAAAUGUCUAUUCUACCCUUUAAAAACCAACGGUGGAUACUGUAUAUUGCUUCCUCUCCUCUAGCAGUAUGAGGGUGCCAUAAAAAAGCUCAUAUUAAAAGACAUCUAGAUACAUGUAAUAUUUCGACACUUAAUAUAGCUCAUAUUAAAAGACAUCUAGAUACAUGUAAUAUUUCGACACUUAAUAUAGCUCAUAUUAAAAGACAUCUAGAUACAUGUAAUAUUUCAACACUUAAUAUGGGGCGGAGUGAGUAUGUUCAGAAAAACUGAAAGAGAGAAUGAUUGUGUCUACGGGACAGCUUGAGUCAUCAGAGUAACCUGGUACUGUAACAGUCUCAUUUGCUUUUAACUGUGUUGAAAAAAAAUGCUUUAUUCGUUUUGACUGUAAGCAUGAAGAAGCAAAUCCAACAUUUGUUUAUGUGACCGAAAUAUUGAAAUUAUAUUCACGGCUGCACUUCUGAACUGUAGCUAUUGCUAGCAAGGCAAGAAAUUCAGAGGUUUCACUUCGUACGGUGAUAGCAGUAUAGUUAUAUGGAUAACUAGCAUAUAUAUGUGUUCUCCAAAGGAAAUACUUAAUCAGCAAAAACAUUGGAAUUUAUAUAUCCUCUCUGACUCUGGAGCAUAGCUAUCCAGUAGCACAGGGGGCCACUAAUUUAAAGCGAUCGAACAAGGAAAAGCAGAAGAGGGGCAAGAAAAGGAAAAGAGGCAAAAGCUACAAAGAUGUUCCUGCAUUCCUGCUUCCAUUUUACAGGGCUGGCUGCCUAGCUAAACUAUGAUGGCACUUGCGGAAUCAUGUCAGCAGAAAGACAAAGCUGAAAAGAAGCUAGCUGAGGCAAGCAACAAAGCCCAGCGAUGACAAAAGCAUAAACCAAAGCUACAAAAGGGAAAAGGUUCAGAAAACGAAUUCUGCUACUACUACCUAGCCUGCUGCUUUGCUGCAUCGAUCAUUUUGUUAGCAGUCUUCUUCUACCCUGUCUCUGGCCUGUCAGUGUCGUGCAUGCUGCUUCCUAUGUUUGCAUCAUGCCAUACCCCCUUUUAUGUCUUUGCUGUGUGUGCGACUUCUGAAACUAUUGUCAGUUUUGAUCUCAUCACUUCAGGAUCAGGCCCAGGGCCAGGCCACCUUCUCCUUUGCAUGCACCGCCCGAAUCAUUCCAUUCCAAAGAUCGGUGUCUGAAAGGCUGCCAUAUUUGGGGAGUAGUAUCCAAAGGGGCUGGGCGUCACGGAGCUUUCAUAGGUCCCGCCACUGAAUGCCAUGGGCGUCGCGAACGGCACCGAAGACGGGCAGCCGUUGGAGUUUUGCUCCUGGUCCUGCUGCUGCUGCUGCUGCUGAUGAUGAUCUUGCUCUUGCUGCUGCUGAUGAUGUAAGCUGCCUCCGCCAUUGCCGUAGCAUUGUGCCGCUGUCAUUGUGGCGGCAUUGUGGGCGUUGGCGAAGUCCAGGUUGACGCCGGAGCUGUAGAGGCCGUAGCCCAGCCCCUGCAGGUUCCCCUGCUGGUGGUGCUGCAUGGCCAGGAACGACAGGUAAUCGUUUUCAUGCUGGUUGUACUUCAUCGGGAGCGCCGUGAACGCCAGCGAGUGCGGCGCGAUGCUCGGGGCAUCGACGUCGGAGAUCACCGGAGUGGGCUCUAAAGCACAUUUGCUGCCCCGGUUGGCGCCCGAGGCGGUGCCGAUCGGGAGGUUGCUGCUGCUGAUGCUCUCGACGUUGUACCGGCCGAUCUCAAAGUUUGUCACGGCGUUCAGGCCGCGGAACUUGAUGGCCGCGAUGUCGUAGGCUUCCGCGGCUUCCUCCUCAGUACCUAUGUCAAUGCAACAUUUUUAAAUUUUUGCACUAAGGUCCACAUACUAAGUUUCUCAUGUCAGUAUAAAAUAGUGGUAGCAAGAUCAGUGCAACACAUCGAACAUAUGGUUCAUGGACAUAAAUAUUCAGACCACGUAUGCACGAGAAUAUGCCAUGAGCUUUCAGUUCUAGCUAGACAGCAAUGCAGGCUACAUCAUUAAGGCUUUGGACUAAUUGGCUUGCUACUGACAGACCCACGGGUGUGGUGAGCUUAGUCAAAAGUAAUAAUGGCCGUUUCAGCAUGCAAGGCGCUCCUAAUAUAAUCACAUGUCAGAUGCUUUGUGGAAAGCUGGUCGCCAACAGUAACUAUAUUCCAAAGACCAAAUACAGGUUGCUGCUACAUGCAGUGCACGAAGAAAGAAAGUGUUCGGGUUGCCAUCGAUCUAUACAUAACAAGGCAAGCAAGCAUGCAUGGUCGUGGCUUCUUCUUUUUCCUCCUCUGGGUAAAAGCCCCCAAACCAUCAUAAAAGACGACAAAUUCGAAUCAAAUGUGGGCAUGCCAAGGAUGCAUCUGGUCAAACCUGAUGAUUUUGACCUAGAUAGAAUAUGUCGACGAAUCUAGCGGCAACACUAGUACGUUCAGUAAAUAAAUUAAGAUUGAACCUACAUGCAAGGCACAGUAUUAUAAUGUGAUGGUUAACGAAAAGAUGCGACGAAUGCUUGCUUGGAGGAGAGGGCCAACACGUGUUCACUCUUACUCCUUGGAAUGCUUUCGGAAUACUACCUAACAAGUUUAACAAAAGAUUGUACCACCCUUCACUCCUUAAUCUAUCCAUAAUAUAUCCACAUCGUCCCACUAUGUCUGUUUUCCUUUUGGAAACAAAAGAGAUAAUGUAGCUGGUAAAGACAUCAGAUCAUGCCUUAAAUUUUAUAGAUAUCCUGGUUAAAUAUCCAAUGAUUGUAACACACUGGCAGUACUGGAUAAUAGGUGACAUGUAUAUAUGCAUUCUUUCUUUUUAGAGGUGAGGGAACCAUGUUUGCGCAUCCAGGUACAAAUAAUAUGAAAUUCAUAUGGCGUAUACUCACUGAAUGUUCCGAGGUAGAGGUCCUUGUUACCAGCCACCCUCCCGAUCCUUGCUUGCCAUCGACCAUGCUGGUGAUGUCUACAUGAUUGCAUUGCAUGCAAAACGAACACUUUUAGCAAACACCAUGCAAGAGGCCACACAUGAUAUUUAAUCCACGAGUGAAAUAAAAAUAUGAACCUUGUGACACCCCUGUAGAUAGAAGCACCCCGGGAGAAUCCACUACUCUUUCUGCACAACAAUACAGGUUUUUCUCUCAUUAAAUCCACUUGAAAGACAAAGCUAAAUGCUGAAACAUGCAUGCAUGUGAGCGUGCACACAAAUUAAGCUAGUGCAAAAUUGGAAGCAUGAUCAUGAUUAGCCUAGUUCCUAUAUGUACCUCCGAAGGGAAGCUACAAACUCCUGGCGCGUCAUGUGCUUCAUCUCCUCAAGCUCAUUUUCAUAGUCAGCAACCUGAAAAAGAACACUUGCCCAAUAAAGAUGUGCCCACGGAAGCAUACGCAUGGAUAUGCAAUGCAUUUACUAUGCCUUUUCUUUUGCAGCUGCCAAGAUCGAGUUCUUUCAAUCGGUCAUGCAAGUAUAUGUAUUGUUGUCACUCCGUGAUCUUACCGGGAAGUUGGUGGUAGUGCUAGCACCCCAGUACUUCAAAGCGGCAAGAUCAUACGCCCUCGCUGCCUUCUCCUCCUUGUCAUAGCCACCUGUUCAACAACAGUAGAGUCAGUACUAGAAUCAUCCACCACAUCCUAGUUGCUCUCACAAUCAAUCUGAAGAAGAACUACAAGCCUUCUUACCGAGAUACACUGAAGAAGACACCAGAAGCAGCAGCCAUCGAUGAGAAAACACAUCAUCGAGAAGUAAAAAAGUUAGGCACAGCCAAGGACGGAACCGGUUAUGAUCAGCCAAGUAAAGAAGUUGUGUGCUGACCUUGGCGGCCCUUGCGGCUCUGGCCUUCACGCCGGCAGCUGUUGUCCCACAGAUGCGCUUCGUACCGACCCGUCCAACGAUGCCUAAAAGAUUCGCCAAAAUGGGCAGCACAAUCAGAUUCAGCCACAACUUGAUCGAGCUAUAUAGGAAGAAAAAUCUUCAACAACUUUACUAUUUCAGUCCGUUCUGUUCUUCCACAUGCAUGGUGGACUAAGUUGUGGACGAUGGAUCGAUCUACGCACCCAAAAAAACAACCAGCAGAGCAGCUACCUAAGGCAGUUCUAAACUAACAUCUUCCAGUAGUUUGCAUGCAACAAGUACUAGUAUAUAUACUGCUCAAGAUCAAGAAGCCAAGCAGGGCAUGCACAUAGCACUUGUAGUUUUCUUGUGCAAUAGACGGAUCAAUCAAUCAAUUAAUCGAUCGAUCACCCUUUAGCUUGCUUACCGAGUGACGCCACGGUAGAUGGAGGUCCUCUGCCCGAACGAGUCCACGGCCUUCUUCGUCUCCGGCGCCGGCGCCGCCACGAGCGGCAGAGCCAGCUUCGCCUCGGCCGCCUGCUCCUCCAGAGCCACGACCGGCGGCGGCGCGGCGGGCGACGUCCCAGUGCCGCCGCUUCCAAGAAACCCACCGGCGGCCAGGAACUUGAGCUCUGACUCGUACAUCUCCGCCGCCGCUCCUGCAGGCACAACCGGCCCGCCACCGCCGCCAUUACCGUUCCCCCCGCCGCCGCCGAGGAAGUCCUCGAGCUUGGGCGGCGGCGCGGCCCCGGCGAUGGCGGCCAGCUCCGCCGCCGCCCCGCGUUCCUCCUCCUCCAUGCCACCUGCACAUGCGCCCAUAGACUGAUUAAUGAGAAAGAAGAAGAAGAAGAAGAAGAAGAAGAAGAAGAGAGAGAUGGAUCGAGGCCAUAGAGGAGUAGUAGUAGCAACUAACAGUGGUGGGCGAGGGAGAAGUUGAGCCAUGGGUAAUGGUGAUGCUGCUGCUGCGCGGCGUCCAUGUCCAUGGCCGUAGUCAGAAACUCAGAAGUCCUCCUCGAAGCGAGCGUGCGUGAGUGUGUGUUUCGUUUCUCGAGAGCUGAAGCGAGAGGCGAUUGGCGUCCUCGGGAGGUGAAUGAAGAACCAAGAAUGGGCGGUGCAGUCCAAGGCGUUAAAAUAGAGAAGCAAGGAGACGGAGCACGGCUCGCGAGGGGGCCAGGGCCGCGGUAUAUUUCUAUGUGGGUUUCGACAGAGGUGAGAACGAACGAGAGAUGCUCUUUUACUCCGGCCUCCGUGGCUUUUUUGGCCGAAGAGUCGGGGCACUGUAGCAGCAGCUAGCGGUGGUAGGAGUUGAAGGACGAGUAUUCUUCUACGGCGAUGAGAUGAGAUGAGAUGGUGUGUUUUACAGGUGGAGGCAAAUGGUACGGGCGGCCGGGGGGGCGGGAUAUCCUUGACCGCCUUGGAAGCAAAGGCGGCCAUGCAUGCAGCAGAUGGAUAAGUUCGGCCGGCCUUAUUCUCGUACAAUUGAUUUUACCUGGCCGUUCGAUGUGGCCUCUGGCUUCUUCUACGCCGCUCGAUCAUCUUUUGUGGUGCCACGGCACCGGGCGUAUAUAUACAGGAGUAUGUCGGGGCUGAAGCUACAGGGGAUCGGUCGUGAAGUGGGCCAAAAGGCAAAGGCAAGUGCAUGCGGCAUGGUCCUUACUCGAAAGGGACACCGAAAUUCAGGACUCUGCUGUGCUGACGACCGUGUCGUCGGAACAUUCAGACUAGCUAGCUACUACUCGUAAGACAGUAGUGCUUGGCGAGUUGGCGUGGCAUUGACCCGUGAUAGUAUACACGCAUGAUUAGCAGUGGAACCAACCCGUAAAACAUGAUGUUGUGGGAGAGAGCGGGAUCGGGGCCUCCGGGGCUUUAUGCCUCGCAUGGAGGAACCGAAGGAAGCAUCGCCGGCCGUUGUUGCCUUGUUGGGGCCCGUCGUCCGGGGACACACAUCCCUUGAUGAGCAGUCCGCGGGAAAUGCUGGAUGGAUGGAUGGAUGGCCGGCCAGUGAUUUCGUCGCUCGCUCGCCAUGCGGUGCAUGCACGUGUGAGCGAUAAGUCGCAUGUUUUUUUUACUUACAGAUCAAUCGACAUGUAUUUGAUAUUCAUUUCUUAAAAAAGAAGACGACCUCCCUUAUGAAUAUCCACAUCCAAGCUUAAUUUCAUUUCGCCAGGUGUCCGGGGGGAACAAUGUUCGGCUAACUCGGUCAGUUUGGUUGCCGGAGUUCAGUAAAAACUUCGCCAGUUAAUUUGGCGUACCGUUGUGGCGUUGUCAAGGUUUCGGUUCCAUGGGGUGAUAAUAAUUAAAACCUAAUCUCAGCCGUGUUACAAAAACCAAUUAAGCUUUUCAAUCGUGUGAUAAAUUUUGCCGAGACUCGGAAGAUCGACUACACGCAAAGGCAUCGCCCUGGAUCCUUCCUUCAGGGCGGCACGUGCCGCACGGGCGCCGUUGGCGACCAUUUAGGCUGGCUGGCCGGGCAGCGCGCGCCGCGGGGCGAAGUCGGCAUGGAUGCACGUGAGGGACGCGUGCGCCGUACCUUUGUCUUCCCGGCGCUUAUAAUUACCGCGAUGCUCUCUGACGUCCCCGGUGCAUGCACGUGCGGCGUGAGUGUCCGUUCGUUCGUAGAGAAUCCAUGUAUGCUGUCCGGAAGGGGGCUAGGAAAUGGAAUCUGGUCAAAGACUCUGAACCGGAGUGGGUAGAGACUAGAGAGGUGGCGAGGAGAAGAGAAGAAGAAGGGGGUGGGCGUCACGUGGACACGGCCAUUUUUUAAGAGCCAGCCAACGUCGACGGGAAUUCGAAGAAAUGUAUGGCAAUUCGCUUGGCGUACGACCGAGUUUUUCACACUAGGCGAAUCGCGCCUGCUCAAGAUCAUGCUAGCCGUGGACGGAGUUUGAUCGAGAGGAAAAAAAUUCACUUGAAUCUAUAUGGUCACAUACGUGAUACGUUGAAAAUUGACUACUAACUCUUCUUUUUUCCGGCUAGACUACUAAGGGCCUCUUUGGAUCUUCAAAUCCUAAGGAAUAAUUCCUAUAGAUACCAUUUGGAUCAUAGGAUUUGCACCGAAUGAAUUUCAUGGGAUAGGAAAUUUUCCUCCAAAUUUUGGAGGAAUCCAAGCAUGAGGUCUAACCUCUUUAAGGGCCUCUUUGAUUCACGGGAUAGGAAAAACGCAGGAAUAGGAAAAUCACAUGAUUGAAAUGUCAUGCCCAUUCGUAUAUAUCCUAUAGGGUUUGUGUUAGACCAAUGUUUGUUUGAUUGAACACAGGAAAAACAAAGGAAUUUGAAAAAGAGGUUGGAGUGGAUGAAAUAUGGAAUUUAGUGCAAUGGAAUCCUUUGAAAAAGAGAUUGGAGUGAAUUUUUUUGUGCAUGGCAUUCCAAUCCUAUAUUUUUCCUAUUUCUAUGUUUUUGCAAUCGUACGAUCCAAAGAGGCCCUAACUGUUUUUUUUGGGGUAGACUACUAACUGUUGUCGUUCACUUUUGUCAGCAUUUUUUGGAUCAGGUUAGCAUUAAGUCAAACAACCCGCUCCGAUACAACACCAUUUUUAUCGUAUCAUAAAGUUUAUAAGUAAAUUCGGUGUACGGAAUUGAGAAAAAAACGAAAAUUCACUCACUGCAAGGCACUUGAAAAGAAAUAACAUAAAUCCAAACGCUAUAGCUGCCUGGUGAAAGAGAUAAACGAGCUUCCCUAAAAAAACAGAUAAACGAGCCGGCCUCUUCCGUGAAACAGGAUAAUUAAACGAGCCGGCCUCUUCCGUUGUGCUCCGAAUGAACACCUGUAACUUGCAUCGCGGUGGAAGAGAGCCCCGGCAUGCGAAGGCGGUGGUGACCAUAGCCAUGCAUGGACACCACCAACCCCAAUUAGUAGGUGUCCUACGGAUAACAACGGAUCCUCUGUUCCGGGAGGGGGCACGUCACAGGAAGACACCGGAUGACUCACGGUCCAGAUAGGGACGAGAAAGGCUAGCAGAACAUGCCCCCCCACCGAUUAUUAGUUAGCUGCUAGAUCAUGCGAAGCUGUUGUUGGUUAAUCAAUCAUCAGUACUACUUACGUGCGUGAGUGAUUCCGAAGGGAUUCCAUAUAAAUCUAUCGGUGGAUAUGCAUUGCCUGCCGCGCAGCACACGUAGCUGCUGGCUUCGCGCGCUUUGCGUCCCGUACGUACUAACCAAGCUUAAACUAAGCAGAAUGCAUGGGCUAGCUGGCUAGCUGCCUCGAGCGAUAUAAUCAGACCGGUGAGCCGAAAAAGGCUCGACGCUCUGCACGUGCCUCGCACUACCGGUGUACUAGUGCUAGCUUCUUCUAGCUGAACCGCCUAGCUGUUGUUAACAUGUUCGUGGUUCAGGUGUGCAGGGGUUGUACCGUAGUAGGUGUCUGCACUCGACAGAACCCACACUGCGUAUGCAUGCAGAUUCCUCCAGAAAAAUCUCGUAGAACUCAAGAGCAUGUCCGUUCAACACACGCUUCUCCGUCAGACAAAAUGAACGUGGCGAGUGAGUAUGUGACUUAGCGUGUGUUUGGUUUGAGCCCCAAUCAGCCCCAUCAAUUUUUUGGCAAAUUUUGGCAUGACCAAAUUUUUGGCAAGUGGAAGUUGUUUGGAUUACAACCAUUGUAAUGGGCCAAUUUUUUGGCAAACUUAAUGUUCCCAUAUUUGGUUUGCAGCCAACGUAACACAAACCUUUGAAUGAUGCUACAAUUUUCCUUUCGAAAACUUUAAUUAGCAUGAACUACUUCUAUUUUCUGGAGGUAAAUCUAGAAGUAAAUGAUACAGUAGAUUAUAGAAGUGGAUUGAGACAGAUCAAAGCACCGAAUCACUUGAAAGGAGAUAACGUGGAGAUACUUCUGAUAUGAUUCGAUGCAUGCAUAGGAGGCCUGCCGAUUGCAGCGAUCGGUGUGCAUAGCCCGACGAAAAGGAAGGAAAAAAGAUAAGAAUAGAAGAUAUAGGAACUGCAUUCUUCCGUAUUCGUAAUUCAUCCAGCGAGAAAGACGUUACCAAAUCUUUGGCGAAGCUUUUCCCCGCCGGCAACUCGCCAAUGCUUCGCGUGGAAAAUCGCAGGCGUGGCCCCGGUGUGCUGGGCGAGCCAAAAUUUUGGAGUCCAUCCAAACAACAGCCAAAUGUCACCAGCAAGCCAAUCUUUUGGUAAGGUCAGUUUUGGUCAUAAACCAAACACACCCUUAUUAUCUGAAGUCUGAACGCUGAAGCUCUUGGUUUGGGUCAUGCAAGAUGCAGCGGCCUGACCUCCGAGGCGAACAUACACAUUGAGAUUCUCGCUUAGUUUCUUUUUUUUACAAAAAGAUACAACGAUCCAUUCAUUGUCAAAGAGGGUCGCGCGAUGCGGCCCGGGAACAAAAGUUUAGGAAAGUACAAAACUCAUGAGAAAGAGGGGGGUUGCAUACACUACGAAUGUAUACUGUUUGAGCGCCCAAGACAGUAUAUGCGUCUGAGAGACAAAAUGAAAAAACAUGAACUAGAUAGACCUCUGCGUGAUCCGUUCUCCACGGCGUUCUUGCCGGAGACCCGACGCUUUGCAGUCAGAAUUUAGCGCCCGGAUGUGUUGAGGAAUGUGAAUAAGGAAUGGAGAUGGGGUAGGAGGUAGCAUGUGUGGGUGCUGUGCGGAUCGAUCCGUCCUGACGUCGCACAUCCGAUCUUCCGCGCGCCUGGACAUUGUUCGCCAAGCUGCGGCGACAACUCCUGGAUCUCGACGAGUGCACGCGAAUACGAUACCUUCGCUGCUGGGUACUCCAGCAAACCUACAAGCCUCACACAAAAACUAAACAGCGAACCAUCUCCCAGUAGUACAUAGCUGAAACUAAAACCUGACUAGAACAAAUUCUAGAAAGAUGAUUGCUAUGGGCUGGCGGUCAAAGAAAUUCUUAAUUCGGCGACAUCAAUGGUCACGGUCCUUCAUGAAAGUUUGGAACACUACGGAUGAUAUACGUCUUGGUCAAAUUGAGCGGCGGCGGCGAAUGGCAGCGACGACCGAGCCUGAGCGUCGCCGGACGGCGGGACAACAGCUGUAGAACGGAAGUGGAGGAAACCAAGGACGCCGGCCGGGCGGCGCAUGCAGUGACAGAGCGCCGAAACCGGGAGGACGGCGGCUGAGUGGCAGUGGCGGAAAAGCCGCUCCGAUGUGAACUGAAACAGCGGCAUAUUAGCCACGAUCUACAGAACGAAGGAGCAAUAAGCCACAAUUUGUGGACGAAAAUGUCAAUAUUACCUCCUAAUUCAACGGCCAGAUUUGAUUAUACUCUUCCCUCCCCCUAGACAGUAUCAAGGUCCCGUAAAAACGGCACGGCGACGCGCGCCGACAGUCAAAUUAAGACGGUAGCGGUUCUGCACUUCUGCUGACAGUUGACAAUGGCGUACGUGGCGAUAAGUGUGCAUCACGUUUCCUACACGUGGAGAUGGAUGACGAGCAUGCACAUUACCUGAAGGUCUCAGCUGAGCUCAUGUGCCUGCAGAAGAGGAAAAAAGGAGGCGACAAUGUGACUAUGAGUAUAGCUGGAGGGGCCGCACAUGCACGCGAUGACUUGGUACAUUUUGGGGGUAGAUGACUUAGAGAUCGAGCAGAGACCUAUAGCUAGGGGACAAGUACAUACAAGUGUAUCGCCUGGCUGUUCGUUUAUGGAGUUGUCUAUGCACGGAAGCUGGUAGAAAGGCUACGUGACGGUAGCCCUUGUAUGUAAUCCCUCAAUCUCAUAUUCAGUAACUCAAAUUUGCCUAAAUAUGAAUGUGUCUAUGAUUAAAAAAUGUCUAGUACAUAUAAUAGAAUGUCAUUUGAUAUGAAACGGUGUGAGUACAUACUUGCGGGCGAUGGAAAGACAGGGUUUACAAGCAAGCACUACUAGCACUAACCUGUGAGCAGAAAAAACGGGAGAAAAGGCAACCACCUCUCUCAUCUCCUCCGGAUGGCCACCGGCGGAGCCAGACUAAUGCCUGGUAUGCAAUGCAUACCCAGAUUUCUUGGCUGAAACUUUAUUACUACUAGUACUCUUAUCACUGCUUAGUAUACAUGUGUAUGACAGUGGUGUAUUAGUAUAAUGCUAGCUGCCUUUUGAAUUCCAACCGCAUGGCUCACCAACAUCUUGUCUCGUGUCAGCAUGGCUUGCUUUUAGGACACUGCCUUGCAGAUAGGAUUAAUUAAGUUUCAUUAUCGGUGAGAUCUUGAUCAUGAUUUUUCAUAUUCAUGUGUCUAUCCAUUCGAUGGUUUACCUGCGUGUAGUGUGUCGGUCUAAAUAUGAAUGUAACUGAUGAAUUGAGCCGAAAUCUAAUACGACUAAAAUUGUCAGUCUAUCAUAUAUACGCCUGCCGCCGUCUCCUCGCCUCCCUUGGUACACGUACUCUCUCGUCGACUAGUUUUUGGUCAGAGAAAAAAAAAGCAUUGCAUAGUUUUUGGUCAGAGAAAAAAAAAGCACUGCAUACCCACCUUUGAAAUCCUGGCUAGGCCCCUGCGGAUGGCAAUGGCGCCACCACGACGUGUCUCCCGUCGUCAAUGUACAAAUAUAUUGUCUGUUUGACAUGGAGUUCAGGAUGUUAUUAUACUUGUUUGUUUGACAUGGAGGCCCGUCGGUAUGUGUACUCAAUAUCAAAUCAAAGGCUUCAUGUUUGGAGUACAAUUUUAUAAAGCCAACUAGUAAUGGCAUCUCUGGCGCGCUUAGACUUCGCGUUAGUUUUGUGGAUUCGAUGCACACGCACGCACGUACAGUCGUACACACGCGCUCACUGGCCUGCAGCCUCGUCGUCAGUAGCGUCACAAUGGUGCUGUCGGCACGGGCUAGCUGCGACUGCGAGCGGUCGUCCGGUUUAGUUUUCUCAGCACGUGGGAGGAGGGCAGGUGUACAGCGAGCGUGCCUGGCCAAAGUUUGUAGUUCGUGCAGUCUGGCCGGCGUCAGAAACGGCCAAGAUCGAUGUCUGAACCCUGAAGAAGGGACAUGGAACUUGCGCGGGAGGAGCAAAAACUCAGACUGGCAUCGGCGGUGCGGAUUUCAGCUCCUCGCCGCUUGCGAGAACGGUCCAGAGCAAGCGCCAGGGACUUGUUAUCCUCGAAUACAUAUUUGUUUUUUCUGAGAUCACCCUGACGAUAUCUGUGUCAAAGUUUAAAAAAAAGCCAAUACUUCCCCUGAACAUGAACCACUAAUCAUCUUCAGCUCCAUGGUCCAAAAAACAACCCGGUUCUUGCGUUGAUAAGAAAAAAGAAGCGGUAAACGCAUAUAUGCAGCAUUAAGAAGCAAUUUUCGACUUGCACAUUACCUUAAGCAAGCCAUAUUGUCGGUACAGCAAGAUAAAAAAUGACUAGGAAUUGCUCCUUGAGCUACCCCACACCAUCAUAUAAUAGACAAGCACUUGUUUUAUAAACCAGAUGCAAAAUUUGUUUUGGCAGUAUUUAAAGUAUACAUGAUAUCCUCGUCUCAAACUGUAUGAUUUAUCCCCUUGCUACAAAUUUCUCGGGGAUAUUCGAGUACUAUCAAUCUACAACAGCUCUUAUUCUUUCAACCAUCCACAUAUAAUAAAUAUCGGUAACCAUGUUAGAUGUCAAAGAAUUACACCGAUUAACUCCAAUUUCUAGGCAAUGGGACGCUUCAUUCUGAAAACUCGCGACUGGGUUGGCGUCCACCAUGUCAUACAGGUAACACAUCUUUACUUCUACACGCUAGAGCUAAUAAUGUGAGAUGGUAUUUACCAUACAUCACGGAGGUACCUGCCUUCCAUCUGUAGGCUCUUUACAUAGCUCUCGGUUUUGGAGUUAUCCAAAGAUCCCUGAAACAAAAUGUCAAUGAAGUGUUGAGAAAAUCAUGAGUGUGACUUUUCUUCACAGCCCCUCUGACUUAUAAAGAUCUCAAAACAGUAACCGCGGUUUGGGAACAAAUGUCUUUUAUUUACCUGCUCUUGAACUAUUGUGUGAAGAACUCUGUGUACGUCUCGCGCCAUGCCCUUAGCGUCACCACAAACAUAUACAUAACCACCCUGAGAGAUGAUGUUCCAGAUCUCUGUGGCCUGUAAACAAGAGAGCAAAAUCUAGUUGAGUACAACUAUAUCAUGGAGAUGCAUGUACUCCCUCUGUCCCAUAUUAAGUGACUUUCUAUUACAUGUAUGUAGACGUUUUUUAGGCAUAAAUAAAUCCAUAUUUGGCCAAAUUUGAGUCACUUAAUAUGGGACGGAGGGAGUAUAUAACUGGUGAAGAACAACAGUGUAGCAAAAAUGCCAAGCUUAUAUGCAACCUUCUCCACCAUCUUAUGCUGCACAUAUUCUUUGGUUGGUCCUUCACGAGAGUAGGCGACAACUAGCUCAGAAAGCGCCCCCUCCUGAAGGAAAUUUUGCAACUCAUCUUCAUAUAUGUAGUCCUGCAAAAUGGCCAUUCAGAAAAUAAGAUCAGUAAUAAAUUAGCAACACACCAUUUGUUUCAUUGACUAGAUUUUGAUCUGUACCAUAUUACGGUUCCUGCAUCCAAAGAAGAGGAUUGAAGUACCCAAUCCAACUCCAGAUUCUUUUAGAGCUAACCUUUCCUGAUUAAGCGGGAAAAUGAAGUUACUAGGGCCAUAUCAAAUCCCAAGUGAGGAAAAUACAAGCUCCUUGGUAAAACAAACCUGCAAGAAGCCCCUAAAAGGUGCUAGCCCAGUCCCAGGACCAAUCAUGAUAACCGGAGUGGAUGGAUCUGCAGGUAACUUAAAAUUUGACUGCCUCACAAAAAUUGGUGCCCAGCUGCAUUCUUCGCUAUAUUCCAAUGGAAGUGUGUUCUGCGAAGGACACAUUCAAGGAUAAAUAAAUCGACUACAAGAAACUCUCUUGUCACAGGAAAUUCGAUGACUUCAUACAGGAAGAAAUUUGAAAUAUGUAAAAGAAACAUACCUUCAUCCAUGUUGAGCAAACUCCUUGGUGAAUCCUUUCCGUUGGUGUAGGUCCAUAAACUAAUGCACACGUCACAUGAAUUCUGGAGGGAGCCAUCCUGUAGAGGUACUCAAGCUGUCAGAGAUCCCGAUCUCAAAAGCACAAUAUAGUAUCAUUGAGAUAAGCCACAUGGUCCCAUACGACCACAACCAAAAGGAGGUCUGUGUUAGCUUAUACAGUUUCCCUAAAAAAAUGACCUAUGAUGUGACAAAGCAGCGAUGUUGAAUGAGAAGAAUUUAUGCAUUGUGAAGAAUUUUACCCAACAAUAGAGCUUUAAACAUACUUUUUUACAUGGGCAGUAAAUAGAAGAAUAAUUAAGUAAAUAACAUACUUUGGAGACGAUGAUAUGGAGUAGUAUCGGGGUUGUAGCCGAGGAGCUACUGCUGCAAAGAACACUCCCAAGGGAGGCUUAGCAGAUGGAAAUGCAGCCAUGACUUCAAGAAGGCUCCUCUGGCUAGCUACUAUCCACUGAGAAUACUCAUCCUGCAUACAAAAGUUAACAUUCAGUGAUGAAGGUCUACCAGCUAAACAAACUACAACGUAAGCUCUUAAACAUCAUACCUUUCCAGCAGGAGAGGCCAAAAAUCUCAGUCGUUCAGCUUCAGUCGGGUCAGAAGCAUGAGAAGCUAAAGCAACCAGGGCAGCCUGGAUGAACAUGUCAUUCAAGGAUUGAUCAACUUCUCAAAACAAACUAUAGCAAUUUAAAGAAAAACAGUUAGCUAGUCAUGAGUACCUUCUUCGGUGAAUUGAGUAGAUCAGCGUAACGUAAAAGUGCAGUUCGUAAGGUGCACGGAGAUGGGAAGGGUGGGGCCAAGGAACCCCCUUUACGAGGAGAUCCAUCUUCUGCAUCUGCAUGUAUGGAGAAAACUGUGUCUGGGGAAAGACCAAGAAGCCUUUCAGCCUGCUCCACGGUAUCGACGGAAUUUUCUGAAUACACACCAACAUGAUCUCCAGUUUCAUAUCUGAAACAACGUUUUAAAGCAUAUAAGUUGCUAUGUACUUGCGUUUGUUUAGCUUGCACAAAAAGGUUUAAAACUACGAGGAGAAACCAAUGCAACAGUUGAAACCCGGAAAACAAAACAUUAGGUAACAAAUGGCCCACAAGAUGCUUCCUGAAUAGUCUGGAAUAAAACUACUACCUCCAUUCCUAAAGAUAAGAUGUUCUAGCUUUGUCCUAACUCCUAAGUAAAAAAAUUAAAAGUUCGACCAAGUUUAUAGAAAAAUAAACUAAUAUCCACAAUAUCAGAUAAGCAUAUUUUGAAUAUAUUAGAUAUAUAUCAUGAUGGAUGUAAUGAAACUAAUUUGGAGUUCUAGAUGUUGGUAGGUUUUUCUAUGAACUUGGUCAAACUUUAGGUCAUAGCCAGAACAUCUUAUAUUUAGGAACAUAGGGGGUACAUACCAUGAAGAAAAGCGAGAAACUUAACAAAAUAUGGGUAAAAUUCUAGGCAACGGAUAUCAAGAAACUUACACAAGACCAGUGCCUGAAAUAUCAAAUUCCAGAUGAAUACAGGAGCGGUCAGAAGCUGGUUUAUGUAGUUCCUUUCGAACAGCAACAUUAGACCUUGACAAUCCACAACACGGUUAGCAAUAUUGUAAUUUGUAAAUACUCAACUGUAACUGAAUAGAAGGUGCCGAUAAAUAUUUGGACAUGCAAAUACCUGCAAGGGUGAUGGAUAUCAAUAACGCCGUUACCAUUGGCAAGAGUCCAGGAUUUAUCUUCAACCACUAAAUCUGAUUUAUCGAUAAAUACAACUCUGUAUUCAGGUAUAGCAGCAGUGUACGGAGUUGAUGCACCAGUAGUAUCAUCGUCAUCGCGAAGCAGUUGGUCAAGUUCUGGCCAUACUUGUUCUUUCCUGCAGAUAUUAAGAAAAAGAACAAUUCCCGUUCAAGCUACUGCAGCACAACUAUAUAACAGCAAAAUGACAUAAGCAUCCCAGAAAAUUCAUAAAAAUAUUAGGCGAACAAAUGUCUCAGACAACCACUUGAUUCGGUAUGCCAAAUGAUAUGUGACUUAGAAGUUAUAGUUCUAUUUAUAACCAUAGGUCCAUAAGAACCAUAACCCAUCCAAGCUGUCUAAACUGUCACAUGUAACGGAAUAACUGAAUAAUAGUAUGUAUUUUCUUCCUAAAUGUCUGAAAUUAUAUAUAAUCCCAACUUAGGAAGGCGAAUGCCAUCACAUUACCGGUUUGAAAACAAAGUUAAAGGCUGCAACAUCUAAAAGUAGCUAAGCAAACAAAUAGUAACAGCUUUCUUACAAUCUAUCUGGUUCUAGAAAUACAAAUAUCAAAGUUUCUUCUCAUCCACUUUUGCAUAUCAUGAGUUUGUUGGUGUGUGCCAUUCCCAGAUCCAGAUUGACCAAAAAUCAGUCCCAGUUUCGGAUACAGCCAAAAACAGAAGAUUUAUUCAUGCCAAGACUCAGACCAAUCAAAGCAAACACUUCACACCCAAGCCUGUAUCUUGUGGAUACAUAAACAAGUCAAAUAGAUAUUACCAAAAUACAGAACAAUCAAGCAAAGAUUUGGCACCCAAGUCUGGACCUUGGCAUCUUGCUGACAGAAAGCGAAGCUAAAUACUAGCUAGUCCACUCUUGUCCCUAUGCAGAAGAUAUGUACCAAACAAAGAGAAUGCAUAACAUAUUAUAUUGUCUGUCCUUUUCAUACCAAGCGGUGAAGUCAUCCUCAAUGCAUUGAUCAUCAUCACCAAGGCCACAAGGAACAAGACGCUUGCCACCUAGAUACCAAAAAAAAAAUCAACAGAAUGAUGCCUACAGGAUCAAAUCACAUACGCAUCAAACAAAUAGAAUAUAUGCAGAAAAUAAUCACCGACUAUAUCAUGCAACGGGCUCAACAAAACACUAGGUGAAAAACUAACAUAGCAGUAUAUAAUGAAAAAAAAUAGAAUACGUGUGCAUAGACAUACCAUAUGCCAAAACUUGCUAGUGAGAAUUAGAGAAAUACUAUAAGUUCGAUGACAACUGUUAGGAAUCGCGAAUUGUUCAAUACUGUUGCCAAGAUCACUAAAGUUGGAAAAUAGCAACUGAUGUGUCGAUGACAUGUGGCCUCAUGCCCCACAUAUGCUCCUUGCAUACAAUGGUGUUCUCCAAUGAAUUUUUCAAAAUGAACCAUGUAUGGUAUUUUUUAGACAAUAAUUAGGAUAUCAAGGUGGAGUUAAUUAGCACAUGUUUCCUAUUCUGCUCCUAUUCAAUACAAAAACGACGAGAGUCACUUUUCAGAGCAGUAAAAUCAUCAGGUUCAGGUUGUGGAAGCUUUUAUCUCCAAUCAUAAUACAGGGAUCAAUUCCACCAUCCUGCAUGUUUUCUCCUAGAAAAAAGCCUAGCGAUGAGCCUCCAAUUCUUUUGUCGGUUUCUUGUUGCUGCAAUGAUGCUUGUACCAUUGCUCCUAUUUUUGCAUGAUGUGACAAGAGUGUUGCAAGAUGCUGUUCUGGACUUCUGAUUCCUACGAGUUAUUGAGUACUACUGAAUUGAUGAUUCAUGAAAUUUCCUUUGCUCAUGUACUGCAGAAUCUUUCAAGAGAAUGUUCCAGUCUUAUCUUUUGAUUCGUACAAGCUAAUUUAUUUUGCUCAUGUUCUGCAUAAUUUUCCAGCGAUGUUCAUGCUCACUUAUGCUUGUGUCUUACUACAUUGGUGUAGUCCAGUUUACCGAUUUAAGCCCUAAAUAUAGUUUCUGGUCAAAACAAAUCUGCAAGAUGACAAUCGUCCACCAACAGAAACUGUUAUGUUGGGAAAUGUGUUCCCGUCUUACCGCAACAAAUUGUUCAAAAACAACAAUGCACCUACAGUACACCCUAUUUUUCCAAAUACUCGACAUCUUUUUACCAAAGGUCUUCCCCAAAUACUUGGUACUUUACACGUCCUAAUGCAUCCUUUUCCAUUUUAACAUUGCCAUGUUGUCCACCUUGUUGUUUGAGCAACUUACUGAGAGGGGCAUUUUUUUUAAUUAAAAAACUUCGACAAUGAUCACUGAAUUAUGUGUGUUGGCAAGAAAAUGCCAACUAUUUGAAACAGGGGUGUGUCUUCUCAAAAUUUCUUGGAAAAUAUCAUAAAUUGAAGGCUUACCCUGCUCCUCCAGCAGCUCGUCCACCACCUUUGCAACCUAUAUUUUACAUACAGAUAAACUAAACAUCAAGAUACAGCACUAAUCAACCUUUGUAUCAGCGACAUCUCAUUUUCAAUGAAGCAAACCUUAUUAAAAUGCUCAUAUUGCCUGUUCCCAAGACCAAAUACAGCAUACUUAAAAUCCUUCAGCCAAACUUCCUUCUCCUUCCCCUGCUUAGGUAAAAACAUAAGCUGACUAAAAUUAGCCUCAUAUUCCUCUGCUUAGGUACAAACUAGUGAGCAAAUGUCAACGAAACAAAUUUUACAAACCUCGGUGAACCAUUUGUAGAAUCUUGCUGCAUUAUCAGUGGGCUCCCCAUCCCCAUAGCUGUGGUUAUCAAACAUAAUUAGCCAUGGAAGUUGAUAACAUAAGCUGACUAAAAUAGCUGAUUAUGGAUAAUUCGUACAAAAAAAUGUUUUGCUCAAGUCUGUUACAUCUUUUCACAGAAAACAGCAACCAGAUUGCCAGCAACAUAUUGUUCACUAGACUAUACAUGAUAACAAAUGAAGCUGAUUCUCCCUGAAAAAAUGCCACAGCCAAUUCCAACUCAGAUAGCAAUGAAUGCCUUCAUUGAGUUAUCGCAUCAUUCCCAAUUGCAAUGAUCACUCGUGAGUUAACAGCAGAGACACACAUUGUGCUAGACUUAUAGUGUCUUACGUGUCUUGGUGCUGGCACACAGUUCACUCGCGCGUUACGACAAAAAAAAGAGGGUAGGAGCAUUACGGAAUCAAGCGCAAUCGACAAAACAGGCAAUUCAGCAAUCUACCAAUCAAAACAGCGAGAGCUCACGUUGCUAAGAAGAACAGCACGAGUGUUUCCUUCUUCAGUUUCUCCUCGUACUCGUCGUCCUCCGCAGCAUAGUCAUCCUACACACGUUCCAAGCUCCAAUCAAAUUCCCAACGACAAGCAGGUAGCAAGCAGUUGAACGAACAAACAAGCACAUGCAGAUCAUCGCCAAUUACCAGAUCCACCACUUUGAACACCGUCUUCUCAUACCGGACCUUGGCCUCCUCGGCCAUAGCCUACACCAAUCAAAUCCCAACAGAAUCGAAUCGAAUCAGACAAAGGCAACUCUAGUUAAGAAAAGCACGGGAGCUUUCGGAUCGGGGGACCGGAUCGGAUCGGACAGCGACCUUGGCGAAGCCCUCGGCGGUGCCGGUCUGCGUGCCGAAGAAGAUGGUGACGCGCUUGCGGCCGUCGUCGGCGUCGGCGUCGGCGUCGACCUUGACCGGCGGCGGGCGGAGAGGCGUGGCGGCCGGCUUGGACGGCGCGCCGCCGCCGGAUCGGAACCACACGGCCAGGACGAGCAGCCCGGCCACGAGGGCGGCGGCCGUGGCCGCGAGCGCGACGAGCGGGUCGCCCCCCGCGGCGGCGGCGAGCUCCGGCGGGAGCACGGACGCCGCCCACGACCUCGCCGCCUCCAGCGCCAUCCUCUCUAGCUAGCUACCCCCUUCCGGCGGAGGGACUGGCCCGGGGAGGGCAGAGAUGGGGGGAGGGCAAGCCGAGGCGAGGCGCUCGUGGGGCGCACCUACCACCAACUGCUGAACUGCUUGGCUGCUGUGGAGAAGAGAAGGAGAAGGAGACGCAAAGGGGUUGGGGGUUAAGUUCCCCCCGGUUUGUUUACCUUUCUUUACUCGGGAUUUUCUUCCCUUUUCCGGGACGACGAGCUAGAGGCGUGUGUGAUCUGUUUUUUUUACUACCCUUGUUUACUUUUUGCUUAGAUUUAGAAAGUUAAAAGGCUGUUUUCUCGAUCUGGGAACGGAAGCCAGCCGUGUCUGAACUUGGGAUCUCCAGUCCAGCAUCCGCUCUGCUGUCCGGGGCCCGCCCGGGUGCUGUAAAAAACGGCCAUGGAAAAAGCAACAGCAGAUUUGGAACUUUUCGUUACUAUAUAUCGUCACACAUAAAAAGGUUUGCAUCUGCAAGGCGAUAUGCGUUAUUUUUCCUUUUUUGCAUUUCAACGGGAGUAUUAUGCCGAGAGUGCUUCAGGGAAAGGAGCAAAAUGUGGUGCCAGGGGAGAGAGUGGCUAGGACGAUGGCGAACGUUGUCGGGCAACCGAUGACUGGAAGAGUGGUAGAGGCUAUUGAAGCGUGUCGUUGGUGCUUGUCUAAAAGCCGGCCGAAGUGUUAGCUGCAUGCAGUAUGCGCGCGUCGCCGUCAAGGGGCGUUGAGUCUUUUCUUUUUCUGAAACACUGGAAUAUUAGCGUCACUGACGGUUCUUUGUACCGUGUAGCAUCUUGAGAGAAGAGCAGCAGCUAUGGACUUCAUCAGUAUCCGGAUACCAAUUUCUCAUAAAACGUAUGCUAUGGCGUCUACUCAUGGGGGCGGUAUGGCUAAUGUCACUUUUUCAUCGACGUGCCUGUUAUGAUCUCGUGGGAGCGCGGUGUGGCUAAUGUCAGCAGUGGUACAACAGCUGCUUUGGAGGAAGAUUGGUGGAUGAUUGUGUCACAGGAAAGACAUGGAACUCCAUGCAUCGUUGUCUUCUGGUGGUGCCUUGGUGGAUUUAAUGUGCCAUUCUAGACAGAAACGAUCAAACGAGUACAUACACACACACACACAUAUUUAUUGCAAUCGCAAGCCGGAUUAUUUGUUGAGGCUCUGCCUUGAUUAGAGAGACGGUCGAGCAACAGAGCUCGUGUCAAGCCGGAUGUGGCUUUCGAAUCAGCGCGCACGUACAUAUAAGAACUCUCAACCAAGUUAAUCAUGAGAAUUCUGAACCGCUAACUUGCCCGCGGUUAAUUUUCUGGUCGUGCAAGCAGACGACGGCCGGUUUUGACCCGAGAGUUAGGAGAGACGUACAUGCCUGCAAAAUUAUGUGUAGGGAGGAAAUGUGUAAAGCACGCUCGCCCAGUAGUAAUGCCGUCUAAAACUUAUCUGAAAUCGCAUCCGUUUCUGUUUCAGAAAGUUUUUUUUGUUGUUGAGAAAUUCUGUUUCAGAAAGUUUGACGUGCAGAGUCCAGACUUCUUUCGCUUCCCGUCCAACAAGUAGAUCCAACAUCCACCAACUCCUGCUGGGCCGUGAACCUCUGCACUUUGCAGACGCGCACACACAAGGCCCGUUACCAAAACCAGAAGGAAAGGGUCCAACGGAGCAGCGGAAAGCCUUUGCUCAAUUGCCGCACCGAAAUUAUUCUCAAAAAAAAAUAAUUGCCGCACCGAAAUCGGCAAGCAGGAUGACUUCAUCACCUGCCCCCGGAAUUGACUCCGCGAUUUUUUGGACGUGGUUUAGAUAGAUGUCUCGGUUUUCAUCGGCGAUGCUUUCAUGCUUCGGUCGUGUUCGUGGCCAGAUGCGGCCGUCCAGCCCUUUGUCUUUUCUUCCUGUGGCGUCAUGAGCCAUGACUGGUUCCCCAGCCUUGCGGCUCGUGGAGUACGUACGCGCGCGCGGGUGCUUCAUUUUCUUCGCCGGCGCCGGCUAAGCUGCUAGCUAGCGCGUGGUUCUAGCUAGGCCGGCCGGGCUCCAUGGGUCGUACGUACUACAGUACGUAUGUACGUACUACAAUACUGGUAUUGACUUCACAGCUAGCUACUGUGUACACCUUGCUGGCCCUGUUCUGUUCCGUGCAUGAAUCCAUCCUGCGACGUGUCGAACUGUCGGUGCAUGCCUGAUCAAAAAACCAAAAAAAUCUGAAGAAAUCAUAGAGUUAUCUUAGGAAUAACAUUCUGAGAUCCCUUGCAGGAGCUCCGCGCUGCGUGGUCAAAUUUAAUUUGUUGAUGCCUGCCCGAGUGGGGCGCUAUCUUCCUCUUCCCUCCCUCCCGUCUCUCCCUAGUCUCUUCCUUCCUCUCCAAGCAAGUGAAGCGGCUGCGCCGGGACCGACGGCGAUGAGACAGGCCAUAAAGGUGGGCCAAGGGCGAGGAGAUCGAGCUGGAGCAACGGUGACGUAGCGGGCAACGACGGGGCAAGAAGGUUACAAGAUCCAGCGAGGUAAUAAGCCCGGACGACCCAACUAUGGGUCAAAAAGAGUGGCCGGCGCGAAAGUGAUGGUUGGUUCCCGACCUUAGAGGGAUGGCCGAUGUUAAAUUAUAGGAAACGUGUGUAUUUCCAAGUCGAUGAUCAUGGUUGAUUCUUUAUCCAACGAAAAUCAGGUACAUAUUGCACAUAAAUUAAAAUGGAUGCAACUUUGGUCCACUUCUUCGAGAUAGGUACAUCAAUUUAUGAUAAAUCGUUCUCAAAAUCUAAAAUACUUGUGCAAGGUCCGAGUGACCAAUAAAGUAAGGGUAUAGCUAUAUCUCAAUCACCUGAUAUUUAAGCAAAAGGUUUAAAUCUUAGUUGGCGUAUCAAAACCGUUGAAUUAAGAUCUAAAUAUCAUCUUCACUUCCUCAUCUUUCACAUGUCGUUGUUGGAUUAAGAUUCAAAAGUCAAGAACUUCAACUCAUCUAUAACUAAAAAACAUGUAACUUCUCAGUAGCAAACCGGCCGAUAUAAAAUAAAAGGAGGAUGUAUAUCUAUAUCUAUACCUAUCUAAAAAAUACGGACUGUUCCCUUCACCGUCGUCUGUCAAACUUUCCAUAAAAUUUGUGGGACCCUUAGGGUUGCAUGUAUAUUAGGCCUAAUAAGCCGGCUGGCCCAUUACCUGCACCAAAUUGGACUGGAACUCCACCAGAUCGGUCCAGAUUCAAUCAAUCACGAAUACAACACAACUUCAAACUUAACGUAUCAAUCACCAUCGGUCCAAUACAACCUCCCGUAACUAAGCAUGUAUCAAUAUCGGUAUGGAAUAUGGAUCGUAUGAAAAAAAGUCAUAAAGCAAUCUCAGGAAAAUCAAUCCAAUCCGAGCCAGAAAAACUGAUCCAUCCCUCUCUCCCAGCGAAGCUCCACGCCAUGGCCCAUGGAUCGUUACAAUAGUCGGGAUAGGAUCGAUCAAUGUACUUGCUCGUAAAUUAUGCCUACGGCCUACAAGCGUCUCUAAAAAAAUUACUACUCCCUCCGAUCAAUAUUAAUUGUGUCAAAUUUGCCCAAAUAUGGAUGUAUUUAUGCCUUAAAAGGGAGUAUGUCUACGGGUGGACAGAAACUACAAGUCCGAAUGCAUGGCACAAGCCGCUGCACAACGCAAUCACCCACGAAGAUGCAAAUCGGCACAGGCACAAUGACAGUUCGACUGUCGACAGAUCGGCCUAUACGAGGGAUUCUACACUAGACUCUAGACAUCGCUGACGCCUUGAAGCCAAAAUUUAUUUAGGUGGAUCUAUUUGUAAGCUAGCCUUUUGUGAUAGGUUUAAUUAGCUCUAAUUGCUGGUUAAAGUUUUGAGAUUGUCAUGUCGACUAAGAAAUACGUAUCCGAGAAAAGAAAAAA